This 398-nucleotide ribosomal RNA is filed under the name uncultured bacterium. RNAcentral's name for it is "partial 16S ribosomal RNA". It matches the Rfam family "Bacterial small subunit ribosomal RNA", at positions 360 to 775 of the family's 1533-position model. The record is from RNAcentral.
AAUAUUUGACAAUGGGCGCAAGCCUGAUUCAGCCCUGCCGCGUGAGUGUUUAAGGCCUUAGUGUUGUAAAGCUCUUUCACCGAUGAAGAUAAUGACGGUAGUCGGCGACGAAGCCCCGGCUAACUUCGUGCCAGCAGCCGCGGUAAUACGAGGGGGGCUAGCGUUGUUCGGAUUUACUGGGCGUAAAGCGCACGUAGGCGGAUUGGUCAGUUAGAGGUGAAAUCCCGAAGCUCAACGUCGGAACUGCCUUUAAUACUGCCAGUCUCGAGUCCGGAAGAGGUAAGUGGAACUCCUAGUGUAGAGGUGGAAUUCGUAGAUAUUAGGAAGAACACCAGUGGCGAAGGCGGCUUACUGGUCCGGAACUGACGCUGAGGUGCGAAAGCGUGGGGAGCAAACAG